CGCGCUGAACUUAAGCAUAUCAAUAAGCGGAGGAGAAGAAACUAAGGAGGAUUCCCCUAGUAACUGCGAGUGAAGCGCGAAAAGCUCAAAUUUAAAAUCUGGCGGUCUUGCGGCCGUCCGAGUUGUAAUCUGGAGAAGCGUUUAUCCGCGUCGGACCGUGUACAAGUCUUCUGGAAGGGAGCGUCGUAGAGGGUGAGAAUCCCGUCUUUGACACGGACAACCGGUGCUUUUGUGAUGCGCUCUCGAAGAGUCGAGUUGUUUGGGAACGCAGCUCAAAACGGGUGGUAUAUUCCAUCUAAAGCUAAAUAUCGGCGAGAGACCGAUAGCGAACAAGUACCGUGAGGGAUAGAUGAAAAGCACUUAGGAGAGAGAGUUAAACAGUACGUGAAAUUGUAGAAAGGGAAACGUUUGAAGUCAGUCGCGUCGGCCGAGACUCAACCUCGCUUCUGCUCGGUGCACUUCUCGGUAGACGGGUCAGCAUCAAUUUUGACCGCCGGAUAAAGGUCGAGGGAAUGUGGCAUCCUUCCGGAUGUGUUAUAGACCUCGAUUCGAGCUACGGCGAUUGGGAUUGAGGAACUCGGCGCUUUGCGUCCAGGAUGCUGGCAUAAUGGCUUUAAGCGACCCGUCGUGAAACACGG
Molecule: ribosomal RNA, 638 nt
Filed under: uncultured fungus
Lineage: Eukaryota; Fungi
Description: eukaryotic LSU rRNA
Rfam family: Eukaryotic large subunit ribosomal RNA
Source: RNAcentral